GCUGAACUUAAGCAUAUCAAA
RNAcentral lists this ribosomal RNA (21 nucleotides) under Trichoderma spirale. RNAcentral's name for it is "partial 28S ribosomal RNA". The record is from RNAcentral. RNAcentral also lists the same sequence under 1 other name. Lineage: Eukaryota; Fungi; Ascomycota; Sordariomycetes; Hypocreales; Hypocreaceae.